UCCCUUCCACAGAAGUAAAGCGGAGGGCUCACUGGAGGUCUGAGGCUGAAUUAAACCCCUCUCCUUCAGCUUCCUGUCACUAAUGGGCUGUUGGUUUCAGUGGGAGAGAGGCUGCACAACACAGGCAGCACUGAAAGCGGCACCCCUUGCUAACAUCGAACACAGAAACCCUGCUGCUUUGUCGUGGUCGACUGCUACGGCAAGAUAAAAAAGAUUUUAUCUUUUUGUGGCUGCACUGUGUCAUUGACCAAUCAGAGGGUCAGCAUCCAUAGCAACAUCUGUCUCUGUCUGCACACCAGGGGUUCGAAUGCGCCGACUGGAGCUAAUCACGAGAGCGGCUCCUGAGGCUUCAGCCCAUUUGUCACUUUGAAGGAAUGCAGCAAAAAACUGUCAAAAUAUGAGACCUAACCCCCUCUGGAGCGCAAGAAAGCCUCGGACAGCGGAAGUCCGGCCUCCCGUGCCCUCGACGUUGCUCUCGCUUGUAUCAGGGCUUUCAAAGGCAGGACCUUUCGAGGCUUUCAGUGACUCCGAAAACCCAGAGUCCUGGUGAGGCCACGGAGACCCGCUGGUCUUUCUUUGGAAGAGUGAUAUUGUUGGAAUUUGAGAACAUGGAGUCACACAGCAAGUGAGUACAAGCUAAAUGCCACCUACUGGAUCCAGAAAGCCUGAGGGACAGGCUGCCACAGAGUACCGGUUCUAUGCGUGACCUUUAGCUCUGUGUCACAGCGACCUGAAAAUCACACAAGACAUGGAUUAGAACUUAUACGGUGGAAGCUGAGCCACGUUUGCUGCUGUAGUUCGGAAGCUUUCAGAAUUUCAUAUUAGAAAGAAAAAGGGAUAGAUUGUUGUGUUAGAAAUCGAUUGGUUUUCUGUUCGUUGUCUGUCAGGAAGCAUUUCACCAAAUCUCUGAAAAUGUAUUUACUUAGAAGAUCGGUGAAUAAUAUACUAUCAAAUUGUCAAGUUAAUGGGAAUUAAUAAAGAGGUGAAGAGCUGAAAAUUGUAACAUUUAAAUAUGUCAAAUUAAAAUUUUUGCAAAUAAUACGUUAAUACCUUUUAAAGUUUAUUUAUAAAUUAAUAUAUAUGUACAGUAAAUGA
Long non-coding RNA from Puntigrus tetrazona (Sumatra barb), 1095 nucleotides. RefSeq lists it as uncharacterized. Lineage: Eukaryota; Metazoa; Chordata; Actinopteri; Cypriniformes; Cyprinidae. The record is from RefSeq and is a predicted model, not a curated record. The transcript has 5 exons.